ACACACUUAGUAAAUCAGUUCAAAACUUCAAAUAUAUUUAAGGUGCAGAUCCAUUUGGAUUGGUCUCUUGAAUGGAAUGGACAAUGCUGUACAGAAGACUACCUUUUCUACACUACUAUUAAACAAGAGAACUUGGCGGACGAAAACUGUGCCGGACCCACGCUCGCACAAGAUUGAAACGGUUCCACCAAUUCUGUUCACGUCCUAACAACAAAAUGGCUAAACUACGGAAAAUUAGCCAUAAUUAACGGCAAUUAAACACGUCCGCCUAACAACAAGUGGCUAAACUUACGGGAAUCAGAUGGAUCUUCCUGCCCUUGCCCACCCGGAAGUACGUCGCAGCCGCAGAGGCUGUCCUGCGCCAUCGCAGCCAUGCACAGCGGACGACGACCGCGCCGAAGAGCUUCUCGCGAACGCAGGUGCGAACAGUUCCAUCCCAGUUAAUCUCAGUGUCUUUCUUCGAUGUCGCUGUUCAAACGCACACUGCAGUGAGACAUCGGCGCCGCAAGCCACUGUUGCGCCGUCGCCGCCCAGCCAGUUUUGGCCAUCGCCCCCUUCCGCGGCCGACGAUGUAGGCGCCGACGAACUCCUCAGGCAACGCACUUGCCUGCACCAAAGGAACAUGGUAUGAUUUUACAGGAUAUUCAAUUGGGUUAACUUGAUGGGGCCGACCAAUUCCUGAUUUUACACAAAAUUCUAUUUAACAUAUAUGUGUGUUCUUCAUUUGCUUCCCUAAUCCCUGUCAAAUUUGCAUCCUUAUAACAAUGUUCUUCACUCUCAAAUUUGCAUAUUUACAACAAUGUGCUGAUCAAUGCAUCAUUUUUGUGCAAACCAUAAUAGAUCUACCUCCUGUAACUUCAACAUGAAUUUUAACAAAAACUUCAUGCUGGAGCCCUCCAUCAUAUUGUUUUAACAGUAUAUUAUUCGAAUCUAUAUGACUGAAUGAAUAAAACCCAGUCAGUAUGAUCUAUUUGUAACCCGAUCCAAGAGAGUGUGGAAGAAAACCCAGUCCAAGAAUAUGCAUUUUUCUGUACAUAAAUGAGGUCAUCUUCUAUUAUCAAAUUUGCAUAUUAGAUGGCUGCGGGAUAAGUAUUGCAUGAUAAACAAAAAUAUGAAACCAAACAUAUAGGCUCGGAAACACUUUGGAUUUUACAAGAGAAGAUCUACUAAAGUAAAUUCAGGUAGAAUCAAUGGCGGAGCUAGGAUUUGGAAACAGGAUAGUCCUCCAAAAUUAUGUCGUUUCAGUUACAGAGAAGCUUUGAUGUAUCACAGUAGUCCAACUGAUGCAUUCAACAAAUAACUGGAAUAUUCACAAAUUAUGUGAGUAAGUACCUGAUCAUUUUGGCCAAACCAAACCCAAGACUAUCAUGAAGUAAACCUGUCAAUUACUUCUUUUGUACAACGCUGAAAAGCUUCGGGAUGAGUAUUGAAAACCUGUCAAUGUGUAUGGCAGGCAGGUAUGCAUCCCCAUUCCCAUCUUUGUGUUUAUUCCAGAGUCCCAAAAAUAUAGGAUGGAACGAAUUCCAUGACUCUUAGAUAGUUAGAUGGUCUUCAAAAUACAUUUCUUGUAAGCCUGCAAAAGCACUUCUGUUUUAACAGGGGGUCCGGGACAACAAGAAAUAUAUCUAAAAGGUUGUGCUAUAUCAUGAAUAACACUUGUGCAGCUGCCGUAAGUAGUACUGAAGAUGCCAGAGAUGUUUAUGGACUUCUAAUAAGGCAAGUUAUUCCAAGAAAGGAAAUUUUUGAGGUGAUAAACUCUUUGAGCCAACCAUCGUCCUCUAUAUGAGAACCAUACCAUCAUCAUUCUUCAAACUGUAUUAUCCUACAGUCAUACAUGCUUAUCCUAUUGUAUUAUCGUACUAUGCUUCUCUUGAUCCUCUUUGAUUUUCUAUAAACCUCGCAUUUGUAAACUUAACCCUGCACAUCUAAGAACAUGUGUUCAUUUUUCAAAAUAGAAGUAAAUUUCUUUGGCAGGAUCAAGCCAAAUCAACCUCAUCUGUCUUGGUCCCUAUCCCCCCUAGCCACCUAGAAUUCUAAUCCACCAAUCAAUCAGCUUUAUCGUAGCAUGGUUGCCUGAAGAAUAUUAACUAACUAGAAUCCCCACUCAUAACAGUUGCUGCAACUAAGUUAAGAAAGUCUAAUCGAACAACUUACUCCAAGAUUAGGCAGACCAAAAUAGGAUCACCCCAACUUCUAAUUUUUCUCCCCUAUUCUAAAAUGACUCUCAUGCUUAAACCUAGAGUACUGAGCUACAUAUGUACUAUACAGGAAUGGAUAGCAAUUAGGGAUUAGCAGAAGUGGGUAAUGGGGAGUAACUCAAAUCAGAAAUAAGCAGAUAUGAAAGCUGAAGUGGGGAAUGGAUUUUCUAAUGGCGCCGGCUUGCACUUGGAGGGGACCAGCCACCGCGGCACUGCUGCCGUAUCUGGGCAGGGCAGGGCACAGCAAAGGGUUGUGCGAGCCGCCGACGGGCGAGAUGGAGAGGAAGGCACCGGGCGCGGAGGUUGCGACGCAUGAUUUCCACGCCCGCCGAUCUGAUGGAGACGAGUCCCGCGCCUCUGCGUCGGCCUUCGCCCCGCACCCAACGACCAUGCCGAGCUCGAGCGGAUCCUCGGGCACUUCGGCGACUGAUUCGACGAGGAGGGGCUGAGAAGAGUGGGGAGAGUGCGAGUCCUCGCGCCGGCGGUGGGGACGAAGAGGAGGGGCGGCCCGAGGAGGUAGAGAGCUCUGGGCUUGUGCCAUGGAGAGUAGUGGGGAGAUAGUGAAUGGAUAAGGGUGGGGAAGGUAGGUGACGAUGUGAGGAGAACUAUGAGGGAGAGUCAGGUGUGUCCUUUUUUGAGCCUUUUUCGUUUCUUUUCUUUUUUGAGUUUGUUUUUUAGCGUCGGUGUUGUCCAAUUCAUUUUUUUAUCAAUAGACUUUUUGUCACUUAGAGCAUCUCCAAUAGCAUGUGCAUAUUUGGAUGUCUAUAUAUUCAUAUAGACAAUGGUCUAAAAAGAUUCCCGCAUAUACACGUCCAGUUUUGCAUUAGAAUGUCUAUAUACAGGGACCAUGACAGGUGGGCCGUCGCUGGGGAAAGGAAGAAAUCAUGACUGCAGCUGAGUUUAGACAACGCCUUCACAUUGUCCAGGCGUGGACAUUGUCGAGGUCGAUAUAGAGGAUGUGUAUAUUUGGACGACCAUAUAGACAAGCUGUUGGACGCCUGUUUUGAGCUCACGUCGUGGAAAACGAGUAUAGACAUCCGUAUAGAGAAGCUAUUGAAGAUGCUCUUAGUUUGUACUCCCUCGGUAAAGAAAUAUAAGAGUGUUUAUAUUACUACUUUAAUGAUUUAAACGCUCUUAUAUUUCUUUACGGAAGUAGUAUUUAGCAUUGUACUUUGUCCAAUUGUUUUUUUAUCAAGUGUGUACAAUUUGACUAUGUGGGUGUGAUAGUUUGAUAAAGUCACAAGGGGUUAAAAAGUAUUCAAUCACAAUUAUUUUGAAAGUUUUAUAAAACUAAUAAGAUUUUUAUCAGUGCUUAUUAUUGAACAUAUCAAAAUUUCAUAAUCAUGCAACUUGUGGUUUCUGGAUGUUAAAUUUCAUGAAGUACCUAAUGAGAGAUAUUUUGUUCGACACUCAUAUUUUGCUAUAUAGGAUGAUUCAUUGCCAGCCAUAUAAAGGUUCUGAUUUUGAAUUACGUCAAGUUUAGUUCAAUUUUAAUUGUGCUUACAUUUUCUUCAGCAUUAUUUUUGUUGUUAAUUUUGAUAUUGAUGCCAUGAAUUUGUUUAUCCAGUUUUACAAGUUUUUGUUAAGACAUCUGAACACUCUUAUGUUUGGCAGUGAGUGUUUCUGGAAGUGUUAAGGGUCAUCAAAAAAUAUUUUAUUAUACUAACACUUGAAUAGGAUUAUAUAACACUAACACUUAUGUAAGGUUUUUCACUUUUUAUGAUACCCAAGUGGCGAAAAUAAUGAGGAGAGAAACAUUGAAAUCCUUGUGGAGGACCUCCAAUUCCUAAAAGGAUGACCUUCGUAUUUUCUUGAUUUUACCGCCUACUUCCAAGUUGGAAAAUGUGUUCAAGUAGGCUGGACCUUGGAUGUCUGUCCAGUGAAUCUUGCCUUGUGCAUCAAGACGUGUGUCUUCUUUCAAGGAUGAUUGGGAAAGUCAAUUUUAAGCAUUGUUUACGUUAUGCAAAUCAAGCGGCACAUGUGCUAGCUAAUUAUAGUUACUGUAAUAAAGUGUCUAUUAGUUAGACUGACGAGCCUCCAGAUUGUCUGGUGAGUAAACUCGUAGAAGAUGUAUCCUUGUCGUUUCAUCAAUAAAGCUAGCCAUGAUGGCCUUUCAUAAAGAAACAUGCGUUUUCUUUCAAGGAAAUCAGCAACAUAUUCAAGUGUCCCGUCAAGAUUGUGGGGCCUUGGAGAAGACACCCAUGAGAUAUUUGGUGGUGGUGCAUGUUUUAUUGAGGAAGUUUUGCUCUGCUUAGAUGAACCAGACUUAGGUCUUGCUAGAUGUAUUGGGGAAUUGGACAUUUGAGUUAAAGAUAUAAAAAAUGAAUUAAUAAAAUCGAAAUUCAUGUGAUAUUAUUUUGUCAUAUCAUUUACCUCUCAUGUUACUUUGGAACCUUAUUAGUUGAUUAUGUAAUUUUAGUAAUGUUACAUGAUUUUUCUAAGUUUUGAAUUACUAUGUUAUGUCAUUGAAUUGUAAUGUUAUAUUGUGAUUUAUUUUCUGCCUUGCAUGUUUGAAAUGUAAAGUACAAAUGUAUGUGUUAAUGAAGACGUGUGUUGCACGUGCACGCUUACUAGUGGUAUAUAAGAGGCAAAGUAUUUUUUUUCUCCGUUUCAAAAGAAAAAGAGGCAAUUUGCAAAAAAAAGAAAAGAGGCAAAGUUUUUGAAAGCCCUUGCAUCAUCACAGCUUGUUUUAUGUUUAUUUUACAGUGCCAAAAUGGCCAUGUGGCAUUCCUGUCGCUGGUCCAGGCUCAGCAACAAGUGCCACGUCUGCUCUCACGACGCCAUCUUUGCACGGAACACCGUGCUGGAGAAGUCUGCGAGCUGGUCAGCUAUGGGCAAAGAAACACUCACGAAGAAACCUGCCUCUUUCUCUUUCUUUCCCCUUCGGCGUGCCCGAUUCCCGGCUGUGGACAGGCACAGGGGCUUCACGGGGCGUUGGUCAGGCCACUUCCUCGUCGACCAUAGCGCCGAUUUCUUGCAUUUCGUCUAUGGUCAGUCAUUCGAAGUGAAUCUGGAGGCGUCCCUGCCUUUUCUUGUUCUUCUUGGAGAGGACGAUCACCUCUUUCUGUUCCUGAACAAGAACAUGAUGCCCUUCAGCAUGCCUUCUCCGUGGUUUGCCUCAGGACCGGCGACCUUCUGAGAUGAUGUGAAUAGGUGAUGUUUGCCUCGGGAGAAGGCAUGUCGGUUGGGACUUGGGACUUUGGAGGUCUGCUUCUGUAUGAUGUGAAUAGGGUGAUGUUUUCUUCUCUCCUAUGUUAUUUGUUCUAAAAUGGAAAUGCGUGCAGCAGUGUAAAUUUGUUUUGUAAAAGUAAAUUUUUUAUGUCCUAUCGCUAGGUAAAGUAAGAUCAACAUGUACAUCUGUAUGUAAAAGAAGUAAAGAACUGGUUCCGCCUGGCUAUUAUUAGUACAACAUUGCAAACUAUGGCCUAAAUAUUCGGAUUAACAGUUCAUUUGUAUAAAGUUUAAUGCUUACCAUUUCAGACAAGCAGGAUCAGUAGAACAAGCUAGUUUCAAUCACACAUCCCUGAUUUUUUCUUGAACAAAUGGAAAUAGCCCUGCGUUUUUUGAACAAUUAGGGGGGUGGGGGAGCAACCCCACCUCAAUAUGUUACUCAAAAGAAAGAGUACAAUGAGAGGUGAGGAAAAGGCGCAAAGACAUGGCGGCGUCCCUGUUAAUCGGGUCUUUGAACCAAAAGCCCCAAACCGUGAAAUCAGAGAUUACAUUCUGUGAGGUAUCCGUAGCCGAAUGAAUCUCUGAGUGAAACACCUGGGCAUUACGCAUUACGGGUGUCCCAGAGUUUCCAAAGGGCGGCGAGAACGACGUGGGCCAAAGGUUGAUGUCGAGGCCACCCAGAGUGGCAGUAUCCCAAAGGUGCUUGAUGUUGGAGCGAGGGUGAAGGCCCAAUAGCCGCCAAACCUAGACCUCCCUAGGGAAUGAGAUGACCAUGUGCGAGGCAUCCUCGAAGUGGUGGGCACAUCUCGGGCAGGAGGAGUCGGAGGCGAUGGUCUUGUGAUGCAAGUCCGCCUUCGUGUUGAACCUAUCCCUGAAAAGAGGCAGCCCAAAAUCUUGACCUUGAUAGUUGCCUUGGCACUCCAAAUGCGGUCGGCGUGGAAAUCAAGCUCGUCGGCGGAGGAGAGCAGGGAGUAGGCGCACCUCGCAUAGAACAACAUCCUGCAAAAAAGAUUGAACAACAGCAAAGCUCGACAUUUAUAUAUAGAAGAAAUGAAUUGACCAAAAAACGGAUACAACCGAGCAAUACACACCAGCCCCGAGGCUGGAUACCAGUCAAGUCGGCAACUCCGCCUCCCAAGUGACCGGAAUCGACACCCUACAACACGACUUGAAGCCGCCAACCCAGCAUACAAAGAACACAUCCACAUCGGUCCUGGGCCCGGUCACCAGCCGAGCCGAUGACUUUGCCACCCAAGUGAGUAGAGCUGACACCCUACAUUCUUUUUUUUUCGAGUCAAACAACUCCGUUUGAGGCGACGACUCUGAGCCCCACGCUGGGCCUCAACCAAAGGCCUAGCAGAAACCACGCUGUUCUGGGCCGGAUGGUAUUCAUCGCUCAGUUCGUGCAGCAACGCAGCCCGAGACCAUUUCGCGCACCGCCCACGCUGCCAGCCUGGGCCCGCAUGGCCGGCUGCCUAUAAGGCAACGGCCAGUGCGAGGGGGCCCCACCAGCCAGGAAGCAGCAGAGAGAGGAUUCAAAUUCCAAUUCCUCGGUGUCCCCCCAUUCCCCAACACCACCAGUCCACCACCACCGCCACCCAAUCCGUCGCUCCCCUCCUCCCCGCCGGCGAUCGCCGCCGGGGACCUCCUCGGCGGGGGCCCGCUCCGGGGCCGGGCGAUGAAGCUGAAGAUCAACAAGGCGUGCGACAUCGCCUCCAUCUCCGUCCUCCCUCCCCGGUACGCCCAGGCCGAUCCGCGCCCAAUUCCCCUCCCCUCUCGCCGCCGGCCGCUCCCGUUCGUUCCGAGGCGUGCCUGGUUUAAUUCGUGCCCGUGGCGUGUUUUGUUGGUGGUGCAGGAGGACAGGAGGGAGCAGCAGUGGCGGUGGCGGGAUGAGCGCGCCUGCUGCUGCUUCCGCGGCGGCGGCGGCGGCCGCGCAGCAGCAGCGGUCCCAGUCGAUGUCGCAGAAGUCCUUCUCGCAGGGUGGAGGCGGCGGCUCGUUCUCGCAGGGCGUCGGGGCGUCCUUCUCGCAGGCCAUAGGCAGCGGAGGCGCGUCCUUCUCCCAGGCCAGAGGCGCGUCCUUCUCGCAGGGCAGCGGCAGCGGAGGCGCCGCGUUCUCUCAGGGCGGCGGAGGCGGAGGAGCCGCGUUCUCUCAGGGCGUAGGUGGUGGAGGCGCUGCGUUCUCUCAGGGCGGAGGUGGCGGAGGCGCGGCCUUCUCUCAGGGCGGUGGGAACGGAGUUGCGGCCUUCUCUCAGGGCGGUGGAAGCGGAGGCGCGUCCUUCUCCCAGGGCGGUGGCAGCGCGCCGCUCGUGCACGCGCAGUCGCAGCUCUCGCAGGCCUCCCUCGACGCGAACCUCCUCAGCCUCCUCUCGCAGGCUCCCGCGCGCGACCAGGUCUCGUACACAUCAUCCCUCCUUCUUCUCCAAUUGUUGCCGCGUUUGAUCCAUGAUCCAUGAUCGAGGCCGCGUUUGCUUCUACGGUACCGCUUGGAUCACAGGAUCAGUGUGUUCGGUGAAUUUGUUGGAUCAGUGGAUCACUAGCAUGUCGGGUAUGACGGUCUCGUGUCUGUUGCUUGCAGUAGCGAGUUUGCAUCGAAUUGGUUGGUGUUGGUCACUGUUAAUUAGUCGCUUCCACUGAAUCUGCUUGUGCUUGUUGGUAGGCUGAAGAAAUAGUUUAAAUCACUGCAGUGGCCAUUUCAUUGGGCAAAUUAGUGAACCAAGUGUAGUAUCUCAAUUUGGUGCACGCGAGCAUUCAUGUACUGCAUUUUACUGAAAGUGUAAGGGGAACGACAUCCAUGUGAUCCUUUUCUGCUAGACCCUUUGAAAUGGUGAUUUUGAUCUGUAUGAUUUGUCGGAAUUGACGCCGUUCUGUGCACAGUUAGGCCCUGUUCGGUAGUUAUCCACUCCCAGAAUCUGUGGAGCGGCCAAUCUGCAACUCUACGAAUUUGUACUACAGCUCCGCCAACUCCCGGAGCGGAGUUGUGGAGCGGAGCAUUACCGAACAGCCCCUUAGUAUGCAGUUACGAUUUAUUCAUAUUCGGCAAUGCAGAGGGAAUGCCCAAACCAACAGUUCUUGUCCUAAUAAAUGUUUGAGUGAGAACAACUAUGUUUGUUGUUAUAUUUGCUUGUUACAGAAGGUGCCUUCCUUCAGAAAAGUUAUAUAAUGUGCACACUGUUUAUCUGCUGCCCAAUUGUGAUCUCCAUUCUCUUUUCUUUGGUGACCAGAGAUUUGCCUUGCAACAGGACUCGUCGAAGAGGACAUCUUCAUAUCCUGCCAGUUCAGCUUCUUGUGUGCGCGAGGAAUCUCAGCUGCAACUGACAAAGAUACCAACCAACCCUAUCCACCGCUGGAGCCCCUCUCUUCCGGAUAGCAGAUGUAAACUCAAGCCCUUGCGCCUGACAGAAUUUACAUUUUAUCCAUUUUUCUUUUGCGGGAAAGUGCAUUUCAUUCAUCACCAUAACAACAGUUCACAUGCUCUUCAAGCACACUAAUUUUGGUGUUCUGAAUAGGUUCACAAAAAUUCUCUCAUUAACUGGGCAUGUAAGGUCAAAUAGUACAUGCUUUAAACAGAUAGUGCACCUGAAGCUGUUCUAAACGUAGACUCUAGAUUUAUUUUAAGCUGUCACAUUGUCAUGAUAUACCUGGAAGUGUAUUUCGACUAAAGUGCCAGUUGAUGUUGUUUCGACAGGUCAGGUUAAUGAAGAAGUUGAGCGCAAAUUUCAGCAUCUUGCCAGUUCAGUACAUAAGAUGGGAAUGAUAUUAGACUCAGUGCAAAAUGAUGUGAUGCAGUUAAACAGAGCCAUGAAGGAGGCAUCACUGGACUGUAAGUAACCCUCUAAUUGGUACUCCCUCUGUAAACAAAUAUAAGAACGUUUAGAUCACUGAAGUAGUGAUCAAACGCUCUUAUAUUUCUUUACGGAGGGAGUAUUUUAGAUCAAUAAGGACAAUAGUAACUGCUGCUAUUUUCUUCAUGAGUUCUGCACUCUAAUUCUGUUACUUCCCACAAAUAGUACAUCAUCGACUAAUGAGAGCAUGCAUUCACUUUGUUCAGCUGGUAGCAUUCAGAAAAAGUUUGCGCUCCUAGAGGACUCUCUAAAGCAAAUUGUAAGGAUAGUUGCUGGUUCAGUCCUUUUUUCGCUGCUUCUUUUUGCUGAGGCAACAAAGUUUAAUUAAUCCAAACGUGGUACCACAGCUUAAGGAACAAGAUGAUCUCAAAGCAGUCGUUGAAGAAAUCACAGAAAGUAAUCCUGACCAACUGAGUGUUCUCAACUCUCUCGCCAGCAAACAGGAUGAGAUGUCUUCGUUACUUUCAGUCUUGCCAAACCAUGUGCAAGGAGAACUGGGGCAACUGAAGGCUGACAUCUUCAGAACUUUCUCAAAGGAGAUGGAGGUACUACUGCUAAGAUCGACCACUAGCUUUGAUACAACUCUGUUAGGUUCACUUGUGUUUGGGAAUUCUUCUGAUGGCUGGCUUGUGCAUAUAAGUAAUUAUCUUUUUUAGAAGAACAGGGAGCCUUUCCCCGGUUCCAUUAUAUUAAUGAAACCAAAUUCAGAUCAGAUUCAGUUAUUACAUAAGCUCACUAAGAGGAGCAGAUAUAAGUAAUUAUCUUAUCUUGCUGAUUUACCACCAUGUAAAAUUCUCUCUUAUGUCCAUAUGUGUGAGCUUAGUUUCUAUGAAGGCGUAUAUAAGCUGGUUCAUACCAUUUUCUUCUAUAUCUUAUUUUUCUUUCAGGAAGCGUAAUUCCGUUGUCUAUUCAAGAUAUCUAACACUAAAAAUUCUCAGUCUACACUAGGGCUUAUUUUUUCAGCACUUUACUCCGAAGUUAAAAGAUUGCCUUUGAAGAACAUGCACAAUCUUGUAUUUCAUGUGGCAUGCUAAGACCCCAUCACUUCACAUACUAGAGUAAAGCAACUAAUGCGGGUUUUGCUGACCUUUGCCUAUUUGUAUCUGGACAGGGGAUGGUUAGAGCUGUCAGAUCUGUUGAUACCAGGUUUGACCAGAUGCAAAUGCUGGCAGUACGUGUACUUGUCACUCAACUAAUUGAAUUAGCAAGCCUUUCAGUACUUUUCUCCUCUCAUUCUGUUUCCCUUUAUUUGCUGAAGAACCAGACAAGAGUAGCAAACGGAAGCCCCCUGAUGAUGCAGACACCAGUAGCCUAUGGAAGCCCCCUGAUGAACCAGACAACAGUAGCAGAUGGAGGCCCCCUGAUGAACCAAGGACCAGUGGCAGAUGGGAGGCCGCGGAAGAAACAAAGGCCAGCGGCAAAUGGAAGGUCCCAGAGGAAGAAGCUAACACCUGUAGCAAAUGGAAGGCCCCAGAGGAAGAAACAAAGACCAGUAGCAAACGGAAGGCCCCAGAGGAACCAAAGACCAGUACCAAAUGGAAGGCCCCAGGUGAAACAAGCAGAGACAGCAGAUGCAAGUCCGCAGAUGAACCAGAAACCCGAGGCAAAUGGAGAGGCCCUGAUGAACCGAGUAGUACCAGUAACACAAGCGUAAUCUUCUAACCUCAGCUUCUUACAUAUCCAAGUUGUUAGAUAACUACUAGUAUGCAUUGCUGUAGUAUGGGGCAUCAGUGUGAAAAUUGUCUUGAUGAAAAAUCGAAACGCAAACUGAACCUAUAAAUCUUGAAAUCCUCAAGAGGGGAAAGCUUAGAUACUCUCAUGCCGCUCCAAAAGGGGUAUUAAACUUGUCUUCUUUUUCAUGACAAAGCUAGUUAAUUCUGGCAAUGGAAAUCUUGAAAUGUCCAGUAUUCUAAUGCUUGUACAGUAGAGUGUUAUCUCUGUUUUGACAGCAAGAUCAGAUUGGUGUGUUUCAGUUAUAUUGCCUCCACUUUGCUUCAGUUCUCCCUGUUCCUGUUUGGUUCGAGAUUCUACUACUACUAAUGAGGCUUGUUUGUCUGUCAGUGUCAGUGCCAGCGCUCCUGCACCCUUGGUUUACCACAGGAAGACAGAAGGUGUGAAGCCAAAUGUGGAGAAGGGGAUGGCAAAGGCCGCCACAGAAGCGCGGAAAUUGGACGGCUCAGGCGACAGCAGGCCGGCGCCACCUAAAGAGCAAGAGCUGGCGAUUCAGAAGGACAAUGAAGAGGCGCCCAUCAACAAGGUAACCCGCGCCGCAACCUUGCUCGUUUCUAGCUUGACCAAACAACCGUAAAUGCUAUCAGAGAUGAGAUCGCCUAACACAAUGCUGCUAUCUAGCUAAAUUGUUAUGGUUUGACCUGAAAGAACAACACCACUGAUGAACUGAAACAAUUGCCCUGAAAGAAGAACUUGACUGGUUAACCGAGUCAUUUUGUCCUGAAAGAAGAACAUGAAUGAUUUACUGCCUGAAUUUACGCGAUCAUGCUUGCUGCCGCUGCUUCAUGAAUGCUCUGUAGUUUAGUUUGCCCCUGUUGAUCAAUCAAGUGGUAAUAAACAGUAGGUUGAACUGUGAAGUUGUUGUUGCGGUUAUAUUUCUGUGCGAUGAUGAUGACGAUGAUGUUGAUGGCUGUUGCGGAUGGAAUACAAAAUGCAGGCGACGUUGACCAUUGUCAUCGACUCGGAUGAGGAGGAGGGGGGCGUCAUGCUGAAGGCCGGAGCAGGUAGAGCCAGCCGUGGAACUGAACUGAACUGAACUGAACUGAACUGAACUUCCUUUCUCCCUCUACGCUGCUGUGAAUUGUAAACCCAUGUGAUGUGGGAGUGACUGUGUGUCUGGUGCAGGUGGCGCCGGUGGUGCGGCGGCGGCGGAGGAGGCGGUGGGCGAGGUGGAGGCGCUGGAGAUCCUGCGGCGGGCGAGGAAGCGCCGGCGGAGGGAGGAGGCCAGCGCCGCCGCGCUGGACCGCUGCUAGACUGUGUAUUCACUAACUAGUACUCCCUCCAUUCGGAAUUACUUGUCGCAGAAGUGGAUGUAUUUAGACAAAUUUUAGUUGUACAUACAUCCAUUUCCGAGACAAGUAAUUCCAAACGGAGGGAGUAGCAGCAACCCAACGGUAGCUAUUGGCGUACAGAUGCAGAGGCGGGUCGACAGACAGUGGCUUCAGAAGAGAGGUUAGGGGGCGGAUUACAGAGGGAGAGGUACAGAUUUACUACUAGAGUACACAGCAAGGGCAGAUGUUCACGGUACACUGCUGUCACAGUGCCAUUUUCAUCUGCUGUUCCAGCCUGAUGAUGGAGCCGUCCGUGCGGUGCGGCCACGUUUUGCUCGUCCCUUGUUUUUUUCUUUUUCUUUUUUUGUAUCCUCUGUUCUCGUGUGGUCCGCUAGUUGGCCAGGCAGCCAGCGCAAACAAGGGCCGCUGGCUCUAGAGACUAGACUAGAGAGAGACUAGACUAGACGGGCAUGGACAUAGACCGACCGCAGUGCAGCCAGCCUAGAGAGAGAGAGGUAGAGGUGGGCCGGUUUGAACGGAGGUCGGUGCCUUUUACGCUGGCAGGCUACGUGUGCCGGCUACACUACGCACUCCAUCGAUCGCAGCCACAGCACGUACCUGACAUGCACGCAUAAUCAGCAAACCAGGGCAAAUAUAUACUAGAAAGCGAACGGAUGUGGUGCGACAGUGGUAUCCCAGCCCAUCAGGGUUCAUUCCUGGAUUUAUUUCAGGAUUUCGGACAAUGCGCUUUCAAUGAAAGGAGACGUUUUCGUCGACGAGACGCUUAUAAUGACUUUGUAAGGUGACAUGCCGGCUCAGUCUCUCAGAGGUGCUCAUAGAGGUAGACGUUUUCGUCGACGAGACGCUUAUAAUGACUUUGUAAGGUGACAUGCCGGCUCAGUCUCUCAGAGGUGCUCAUAGAGGUAAGGCGUGUGUUUAUAGAGAUGAGUGUAUGCGCGCAUGUAUGAGCGCUUGCGUCUGUACUUUCAAAAACAAAGUAUACAUUGGGGGGGAAAAAACAAGGCACGUGCGCUCACGUUAUAUCCUGUCCCCGAGUGUGUAGUACUCCGACUAGUGUUUAACGGAAAUGGGAUGUACGUACUUAAAUUACAUAAAUAGUUUGACACAAGUAAAAAGAAAAAAUUAGCUCCAAGCACAUGCAUGGCACAUCCAUUCACAUUUUCCAUAAAGAAGGUAAAAAAAUUACAUUUUCCGUAAAGAAAAACACGACCAUGCAUUCAGCAAUUUACUAAAACGAUAUGGAUGUACGGAGGAUUGAUCCGUGCCCCCAACAAAUCACGAAAUAAACAAAUUGGUAGUGGGAUGCUUUUACCACAAGGCUGGAUCAUUGCUACAGGAAUACAUAUGCUUCAAGGACAAUUAUCAAUCAAACGCUCUGAUCCUGCCACUUUUUCCUGCAGAGCAGCGGGGUGGGGAAAAAGCAUGCGUGCCUGGUGCCUGCCUGCUGCUUGUGCGUGUGUGUGGUCACCUUGAUGCGUGCCCAUGGCAUGUGCCGCAGCUACAACUGUCCGUCGCCAUAGCUGUGCUGCUUGCCCCUCCACACCAGCUCCACAAAGCGCAAAGAGAGGCCGGCAGGCACACAUACAGGGGAAGACGAUGAAAAGGAUGGCGUGCCACUGACUGACCUGACUGGCACCGGCCUGUGCGAGCCAGCAAGAAAGGCUUCUCCUUCUGAUUCCUUCCUUCCUUCCGUCGUCGGCGAGCCUGGCUGCAGCUGGCCGUAGCAUCCCUUCACAUGGUCAGAGACUUCUCAUGGUUGGUUGCUGAUCUCCUCGACUCCUCCUCGGGCUCGGAGCUAGCGGCGGUUCUUCAUCUUCUUCCCUGCUGCGCCGUGAGUAAUUCUUUCUUGUUAUGCUCUUGCCUUGUUUGUUUUGGAACCAUAAUAAUACGAGUUGUCUCUGCGGUGGCUUCGCAUGCCCAGCUCCGUUCCUGUGAUUACUACAAUAGCAGAGAAAAGUAACAAGGGUCAGAACAGAGCCCAACCAGAGUGAAACAUGCCAAUCACAACAUGCUCAUUUGCAGCCAACUCUGAUUUUGUUUGUUCAUCUAAUUGCAGCAGAGUGCAGACAUUUUCUGCGACCAGGCUCGCUUGAUUUGCUGCAAGAAAAUUAAUCAGCCCCACCCAUCAACUGAACAGCUGAUACUGCUGGGUACUUCAACUUCAGAGUUCAGAGAGCAGGCAGAAGGAACCAUCCCAGAAUGGGCAAGACGAGCCGGAGACGGGCUACGCAGAUCCAAGAGAACAAUGUAGGCUGCACUUGGGGCCUCAUCCGCAUGUUCUACUCCCGCCGCGACCCCAAGCUCAUCCUCGACAGAAAGCAAGGGAGCAGAAGGCACUCCUUCAGUGGAUUCGCUGGUACUUCCCUUGGUUUACAAACAACAGUUGUAUUAAUUGUGUCAAUACUACCAUCUUCAGUUCUUAUAAUCCAUGGUGUCCGUCCUUCGCUUCACACUUCUCUAUGCUACAAACUAGCAACAAAUCCAACUACAUUUAACUGGGAAAUACCAAGGCAUUCGGGAAAUGCAUCAAUCAGGCAGGCUGUAAAUUCUGUUAUUGGGAUUAAUUUGUACUGCUGCUAAUGCACCCUGCAUGGUUGCAGGAAGAGGGCACUCCAGAAACAAGUCCACAGACUUUGAGGAACCAGAUGAAGGCGGAGAUGUAAGUUCUCUACAGCAAUUAGCAAAUGGAAACGAUGCGGUUUCAAGAGUGAAAAAAGAGAUAUAUUAUUACUUUUCUUACUGUAGAUAGCAUAGUGCUUUCGUUGACACCACCACUCCACAAAGAUGCAGCAGAUGCAAGCAAGUUACUUGCAUAACAAAGUUGCUGUGACUUGUCGAAUUGAAAGUGUCAACUUGGUUUUAAUAGCAGCCAGCAAGUCUUCAAGGCAAAGUGUAGUUUAAUAUAAGUUGAGUAACAAUAAACAUAGAAAAAGCAGUUCUGAUAUGUCAACAAGCAUAGCUUGCUAUGCAUGGACUUGUAUUGAAGAACCAUCAUUCAGCCCCCCUUUGAUGCAAUACAGACCCUGUUCAAGCUUUGCUUGUGUCGUUUGUGCCGAAACUGAAUUUGUUGACCUUCUGAAAACCUAAGUGCAUUACUUACAACCUAUUCGGUUGCAAGUUACUGUCUCCAACUCCAAACCGAAACAAGAUACUCCCUCCUUCCCAAAAUAUAAGGCGCGAUUGACUUUUUACGGUCUUUGAUGCACAACUUUGACCACUAAUAUAUAUCAAAGUAUAUGGAUUGAACAUGUAUAAAUGACAUCGCUGUAUUUGUCUUGCAAAGCAAUUUUAUUUCAUAUGUAUGUAUAAUAAUUUUAUAGACAUAUAAUACAUAAAAAAUAUAGUCAAAGUUGUGCAACGAAGACCAGAAAAGUCAAACCGUGCCUUAUAUUUUGGGAAGGAGGGAGUAAUUUUUUUUAUUUACUUCCAAGUGCAUGCUAACAUAACAAAAUAAGAUUUACUUGUUUCCUGGUAAGAACUCAUUUUUGGUCUUAUAUUUCUUAGAACAUGGAGGAACGCAGUACUACGAAGCCAACUGUUAAAAGACUUAUGGAGGGCGAGCUGGGAAAGCUAAAACAGUCCAAGAAGAUUCCAAAUGAUGAAGUUCGAAGAAUAUUGGCUGACCUGGGACAUGAUGUCUGUCUGGACAAAGGUGCAAUGCAAAACAGCAAACCAAAUGGCGUCGCAAGUCCCCACCCAGGCAUCGGCAUUGCUUCUUCCUCUGGAUCCUUUGAUCCCGGUGGUUCCAACUGCAUGAAACAGGCAGAAGAAGAUGGCCUUGAGCUUGCUUUGUCAGAUUUCAUGGGACAGGUCUAUAAGUACCACGAUGAAGGGCCACAUGAUGAUUGCAGGAAUACGAGUGAAUUAUACCCUGAAUUAGAGUCCAUUAUACAUACAAAGAUUAAUGAAUAUAACAAUCCUCCAUGUGACCUUGAUUAUCAGAAAACACCGGUGAGUGAGGAAAAGCAGCUUGUUGACAACAAAUAUAUUUGCAACAGACAUGUAGGGGCCAGGCUCGAGCCCAAGAAAAUGCUUGAAAAAACAAACGUUGUUGAACAUACAAAGGCUUCAAAUCAGCGUGAGUUGGCUAUCAAAACAAAGAAUAAAGAGAGCAGGAAUAUAUUUUUCUGGAAGAAAGAUAAAUCAAGCAGAACACAUGCACCUGAAGGAAGGUCUUCUCAGCCAGUUAACAAAAUAGUAAUACUGAAGCCAAAUCCAAGGGGAGGAUUUGAUCCUACAGAAGCAACUGCAUCGACAUCCUUCCAUCGGCAAUCAGGUGGAAUUCAAGCUCCAGAAUACAGUGCAGCUGAAUGUUCAACAUUUUCAGUUAAGGAAGUCAGGAGAAGAUUCAGAAUCGUGACCGGAGAAACUAGAGAAGGAAGACCCCCGAUGAACGAAGAUGAUGUACAAAGAGAUCCGUGUUUGCUCAGAGACUCAUUUACAAUUAUAAAGGAUUCCAGACAGGCCCCUCCAGCUACUGAUAAAAAUGAUGCUCGACCUUCAAACAGCAGUAAACACAAGCAAAUAAAUGAUUCACUAGGUGGUUUCAACAGCGACGUAUCUACCUCAAAGGAUGCAUCCACCUUCUACGCAGAAGCCAAAAAACAUUUAACAGAAAUUCUGAAGGACAAUACUCAUACUGGCAAGUAUCCAAGUCCAGCAGUUCAGGUCUCAAGGUCCUUGGUAGGAAUGCUUUCCCUCCCUCAGUGCAGUACCCCAUCAUCACCUGGGAGUACCCCAAGGGUAAGAGAAUGUAUUGAACAUUCACAGGAAGAGAAAAAUAUUUGUGCCAUACAAAAGACCGAGGGGGAAGAAUCUGCGGAAGAAGGAAAUAAAUCAGAGGAAGAUUCAGGGAGUGCUGAGUGUGGUACUAGUGAAGUACCGGUUGAAAAAACUGAUCAAGAAAAACAUUACAAGGAAGAAGACACACAACAAGGUGAGUGAUUACAGAAUACAAAAUUAUCAAAUACUGCAUGGAUAUUAUAUUAACAGAAUAUGAAUACUUGCAGACGUUGAACUCGAUACUGGUUGUAUUGAAGAAAUUGACAAUCUGGAUCACUCGCAAGCAAUUCGGAAUGCGCAAUGCAUUUCAGCAGAGCAACACAAAUAUAACUCACCCCCAGUAUGUUCAAGACAAUAUUUAUUGCUAUUUCAUCUAGUUUCCAUUGAUGUGUUAGUUUAAUGAAAAUUUUGAAUGUCUGCAUUGAAGGAAACGACGGAAGCAGCAGAACCAGGUAAAGAGCAUGCUGAGAUUUGUCCAGGUUCCCCUAAGAAUGUUGUCAAGAUGCUAGAGCACCAAGAGCCAGAAACUCCCAGACGAAGCGCGUCACUUGGACCAACAUCACAAGAGGAAAACCAUGAAAAGCAAGAGCAACCCAGUCCUGUGUCUAUUCUUGAUCCAUUCUUCCAUGAAGAUGACGACAGCCCUGAAAAUAAGAGCCCAAUGCAAUGUAAUAUUCAAUUGAUAAAAAAUCUAAUGUAUGCUUACCAUUGACCUUCAGAAAAACAAAGUGUUUUUUUUAAAAAAUCUAACGGUUUCAUCUCCCAAAAUGACGUACAGGUGAGUUGCGCCAAGAUGUCUCGAGUCCCCACCGGUACUACCAAGAUGAUGGAUCAGACCCAGAGGAGAUCUUCUGGGAGGACAAGGAUGUCAGGUUAGGUUACAUAGAAACAGUGCUGGAGCUGUCGGAAUUAUGCACAUACCAGAACUUGGAUGUAUGGUAUCUAGAAGAUGAAUUGGUCAGCCCUUGCCUGUUUGAAGAACUACUUCAAGGCAAUCAUCAAACUGAUGAUUUCAUGCUCUUCUUUGACUGCAUCUGUGAAGCUAUAACCGCAAUACAGGGGAAACACUUUGGAAGCCCCCAUUGCUUAUCUUUUGUCAGACAAAACAUACAGGCACCUCCAAUGGGACAGAAGCUCAUCUCAGAAAUAAAUAAGCACAUUGAGGGCCAUCUCUGCUAUGAAUUUCCAAGCACAUUGAACCAGCUAAUUAACAUGGAUCUGGAAGAGGGGACUUGGAUGGAUCUUCGAUCGGAAAGUGAGGAGACUGUUGUGGAAAUAUGGGAAUUCUUGCUGGAUGAACUGCUAGAAGAUGUCGCUUAUGACUUGUGGAUAUAGUCUAUCAGGGCGAUCAAGGCAGAGCAUUGUGUGCUUGCUAAUGUGAGUAUUAGAUACAGUAACUUUUAACAUGUUUGGGAGGGAAGAGCGGUGAGCUUUUUUUUCUUGAUGGUGUGCAUCUGACGGUUACGAUGUUGUUCUUGUGCCUUGUGUGGUGUGUGCAUAUGUGAUUUGUGUGACUACUAGUGUCAGUUAGUUAUGCAAAAUACAAUCAAAAUGACACCCAUUUCAGUGGAGUUCAGAGUGAUCCAUAAUCAGUGCGCGCAUAACCAACACCGGUGCAUAUAUCAUCCAUUCCAGUCAUACCCAUAAUAACAUAUCCUACAGCAGAUUCAGAAUUCGACAACAGUAAACAUGAGAGAACAGAACAUACCCAUGACAUAUCCUACAGCAGUUUCAGAAUUAAGCAGCAGGACAGGAGGCCGGAUUAAGGAUCAGUUACCAAUCAACCGACGAAUCCUGCCGCCGCCGUCGCCGUCGCUGGGUUUCUUGGUGACCUCGGGGCUGAACUUGUCCUCCUCCAUAGAUCCCCUUCCUCCAGCCGGGGGAGCUGCGUUUCCUCCCUCCUUCUCCUCCUCCUCCUCAUCCUCCUCCUCCUCGUCGUCGGUGAGAUCUAUCUCGACGAAGCCCUUCUGUCCGCGCUGCUCCCGGACCUGCGCAAGAAACUCCUCGUCCGGCGGCGGCAGAGGCUCCAGGAAUUCCUCGGCCCUCAUGAGCGUGUCCAGGUGGAACUGCGGCAAGACCACCCUCGUCUUCUCCUUCUUCGUCCUCUCUUGUCCCUUUGCGGGCGCCGCUGGAUCCUCGCCGGCGGCGACUGGCGGCGCCGCCUCGGAUGACGAGCUCGCCAUUUCGCCUGCCUCUCUCGCCGGCCCCGCCGCUCUCCCUUCUUUCUCUUCGAGAAAUCCGGCCCGGUAACCCUGGGUCAGUUUUCCCUUCCGGCUAAGGCAGAAAAGCCCGUGAUGAUCUCGUACGGCCCGGCCCAGCCCGAUGGCUGCAUCGCGUGUAUGAUCUCGGCCGGGCCCAACAAAUCACUGGUUGGGCCACAUUUUUUUUCUUCGUUCUGAAACUUACACCUUUGAAUCCUCAAUUUGAACUCCGUUGCACUGCAUGCUGACGGCGAUGGAAUGUCCGUGUGCGCGUUUGCACCUUAUCGCAUGUCUCAUUUCGUGGAUUAUUCUUCACUGCAAACCAUUUCUAUCAUAAUGGUGACAUUUUUUUUGAACAGGAUAAUCGUGACAUUUUCGCAGUCGUGAAGAACCACGACUCCGACAUUCAGUAAACCACAUGUGAAUGAGUGCGGCUGUGUGCAGGGCCGGGCCCACAGUGGUGCCAAAUGUGCGGCCCGCACAAGGUCCAAAAUUCUGGGGGGGCCCAAAUUUUUAUAUAGGCCUAGUAUUAGAAAAAAAAACUAAGCGGUACCGGGCCUACUGGCGCUGGAGUUGGGCUGGAGAGAGGCGACGAGGCCGUCGAGCGCAAUCCUCGUCCUACUCAUCUAAACACGAGCGCUACAAUUUCUCAAAAGAAAAAAAGGAUCGCUACAUGGAUCGGAUCGGCAUCGGGCCACAGGAAACAAAUCGGGAUCGUCCCUGCCAUCGGGGAUCAUCUCGCAGGGCAAUUCUCGAUCCUGGCUACAGGAAAGGAAUGGUAGCCUCGUCUCGUCGCCACUUGCCAGGGCCCGUUCGUCGCCUCGUCCCCGGUGGGCAUCUCCAGCCGCGCCCCCAACAAAUCCUCUCAAGCCACUUUUUCAGCGCCGGUAUCGAAAAAACGGCCCAGUCACGCCUCCAGGACGCCCGAAAAUCGUCGGUUCGGACCUUUUUUCGCCCGGCGGUCACAGGCCUAACCCGACGCGCUGGGGUGCCGUUGGGGGCUCCGGCGCUAGGAAAAAGUACGCCUGGCCCACACCGACAGGGGAAAANNNNNNNNNNNNNNNNNNNNNNNNNNNNNNNNNNNNNNNNNNNNNNNNNNNNNNNNNNNNNNNNNNNNNNNNNNNNNNNNNNNNNNNNNNNNNNNNNNNNNNNNNNNNNNNNNNNNNNNNNNNNNNNNNNNNNNNNNNNNNNNNNNNNNNNNNNNNNNNNNNNNNNNNNNNNNNNNNNNNNNNNNNNNNNNNNNNNNNNNNNNNNNNNNNNNNNNNNNNNNNNNNNNNNNNNNNNNNNNNNNNNNNNNNNNNNNNNNNNNNNNNNNNNNNNNNNNNNNNNNNNNNNNNNNNNNNNNNNNNNNNNNNNNNNNNNNNNNNNNUUUUGACGGUCUCGGCGAUGGACUCGGAUGAGAAGGAAGAGCUCGCCGCGCUGCUGGAGGAGGAAGCCGCGGCCGACGUCCAGAAAGAAGAGCAUCUGAUGGUGCUCGCCGCCCUCGCCCAGCUGCUGGCGAUCAAUGAAAAGCCACAUCGAGGUGGCUCGGCGCCGGGGCGGGUGAAAGCAAAGAACCGGCAUCGUCUGCAAGGCUACUGCAUGCUCUACUCCGACUACUUCGCCGAUGCUCCACUUCAUGGCGAGAGAACAUUUCGGCGCCGUUAUCGGAUGAGCCGAAAGCUCUUCCUCAGGAUUGUGAAUUGCAUCCGGGAGUUCGACAACUACUUCAAGUGCAAGAUGGAUUGCACUGGCGCUCUUGGAUUCACUUCCAUCCAGAAGUGCACGACAGCGAUGAGGAUGCUUGCAUAUGGAGCUCCCAGUGAUUCACUCGACGACUAUGGGCGCAUGGCCGAGUCCACCAGCAUAGAGUGUUUCUACAAGUUCUGUCGGGCAGUGGUGGCAGUGUUUGGGCCACAAUACUUGAGAACACCCAAUGCGGAAGACACUGCUCAGAUCCUAGCCCAGAAUGCAGCAAGAGGAUUUCCUGGGAUGCUUGGAAGCAUCGACUGCAUGCAUUGGCAAUGGAAGAACUGCCCAUUUGGUUGGCAGGGGAUGUACAAAGGCGCCAAAGGCGGUUGCAGUGUGGUGCUUGAGGCGGUAGCCACACAGGACCUCUGGAUUUGGCACUUCUUCUUUGGUAAUGCCAGGAACUCACAAUGACAUCAACGUGUUGCAGUGCUCUGCUGUUUUUGCCAAGCUCGUUGAGGGUCAUUCUCCUCCGGUGAACUUCGAGAUCAAUGGGCACCAAUACAACAAGGGGUACUAUCUAGCUGACGGCAUCUAUCCGAGAUGGUCGACAUUUGUAAAGACGAUCUCAAACCCUGUGGCAGGAGGCAAGAACGCCUGGUUUGCGAAGGUUCAGGAGGCUUGCAGGAAGGAUGUCGAGCGGGCAUUUGGUGUGCUCCAAUCUCGAUUCGCUGUUGUUCGGUACCCCGCUCAGACUUGGUCGAAAGAUCAAAUGUGGGAUAUCAUGACUUGCUGUGUCAUCUUGCACAACAUGAUCAUCGAGAGCGAGCAAGAAGACCCAGUGUUUGACACUGAACCAUACUACAGGCAGGGUCCUCUAGCCGAAGUUGAUCACCAGCUACCAGCAACUUGGACUGCCUAUCUCAGUAUGCGUCAGGAGAUCCGAGAUCCACAGGUGCAUCAUCAACUGCAGAAAGAUCUGAUUGAGCACCUAUGGAGGCUCAAGGGGGACGCCGCGUGAUGAAAUACGAGUUUUUAUUUGUUGAACUAUAUAAUUUGUAUUGAACUAUUUGUUGUUGUAGUAUUUUGUUGAAGUAUUUGAUUUUUCUGUGAUGAAAUAUGUGAUAAGGAAUAAUUGUGUUGAUAAUUGAACGCCGAGACACGGCGAAACCAUGCCGAAUAUGGGCCUAUUCUCGCCCAUAUGGGCCGUUUAUUCGCCGAAAUUGGGCUGCAAAGUGGGCCAAUUUCGGCGCCUGGGGGCGACGACUGGGCGCAAAAUCGCCCCCAGCGCCGAGUGUAUCGCCGGCUCGCCCCCAGGGGGCGAUUUCUAUGCGUCCUGGGGGGCCAACGGCUGGAGAUGCCCUUAGAUCAAUCGGAAUCCAGAUUCAGGGCGACAUGCCGCUGCCGUCAUUGCCUUCCUCGCCUCCUCUCUCAAAUUUCAGACUUGUCGACAUCGUCUCGUCGGAUUGAUCGGUGACCGACUCCAACCUCCAGGUGUUUAGCGAGUCCUUCUUUUCGAUUAACUUCAGUUCCUAUUUUAAUUCCUAAUUUUUUAAUUACUAUUGACAGGAUGGUUACUUCGUUACAGAUUGGUUCUUACCUCUUCGAUUAAAGAUCAUAGUGUAGCAGUUCUACCGAACAUGACCCAAAAAUAGGUGAGUUAGACGGUUCGUCUAAUUGUCAAACAUUGACGAAUGAUCUCCAAUUGAUAUAUGCUACUGUAUAACUUCAAUUUUAUUUUAUUCAUUUUCUUUAUCUUGUGUUUCAAUGAUACACAUUUGAGUCAUCAUGGGAAAACACCAGUCUCGUGCCUAUAAGCGUAAGAGAAAAGCACAAAAACAAAACUUAAUUAAUAAACCUUCCAAAGGUGGUAUAUGGACAGAUUUGUUAGAAAAGAAGCACCACAAGUGUCAUCUGGUAAUCAGUCUGUUGAUCCCUCUACCCUUGCACUUGCAAUUGUUCUUUACAAUGAUUCUAGACAUGGUUAGACAGAGAUAAAUAAUAUGUCCGACUGUUAUGUAAGAUAUUAUAUUACAUAAAUAUUAUAAUAUUUUUCUGCGAGAGAUAUAUAUACACACACAUUAUAAUAGCUCGUUAGUUUUUUUUAUGAGAUAGGGCCCUAUUUUUUAGUUUCGCACAGGGCCUCAAAUUUUGCCGGCCCAGCCCUGGCUGUGUGUGUGCGCGUGUGGCGUGCACAUCUAUAUGUCGUUGUACUCCUACACAUUAGACUAGGCAAUUCUCGCCACAAAGAUGAUAAAAGGAUUACAAUUGGAGAUGGCGUCCAAGCAUAUGCACCUUAUUGCAAUUAAUCGUAUGAUACACAUGCUUGCACCUUAUUGUGAGGGAUUGGCAAUUAUAUCUAAAAUCAUGCAUCGUUGAGCCGCUUGGUGGGUGAGACGGCCUCGAUGGCUUCUCCGAGCGCCCAUGCGGCUUCGAUGAAGUACUCCCCAUGCUUCACCUUCUGCGCCACCGUGAUUUCCUUGGUGGGCUCCAGGCCGAAACCGUCCACGAGCAGGGAGUACUGGUAGACGAGGUCCAUGCAGAUGUAGGGCGUGUCGACGGAUCGCACCUUGGGGUACGUGGCCUUGGCUUCCAUGAAGCCCAUCGGGCAGAUCUUCUCGGCGGCGGCCCUGAACGCCGCAGGGGUGGUCUUCCCGCUUGUGGCCUCACUGUCGAUCAAGCCAACGUCUGCUGCCAUGUAGUAGAAGCUGGAGGUGACGUAGAGGUCGGCUUGGCCAGGGCCGCCACCACCAUUCCAUGCGCCGUUGAAGGUGCAGUUCUUGGCCUGGCAGGGCGCGUUGAUCUUAAGCGCCUUGGUGACAUCCUCUCUGCACUUGUCGUAUGCUGCUCCUUGAGGAGGCGCUAUGGCGUCAUAUUGCUCUCCGUUAUAGGUGUAUUUGCCUUCAUUCAUAUUCAAGAAAUGUAUAAAUGUACAUCGAUCACUCCUUUAUUUGAUUAUAUUACGUGCUAUGCUAACUGAACCCAANNNNNNNNNNNNNNNNNNNNNNNNNNNNNNNNNNNNNNNNNNNNNNNNNNNNNNNNNNNNNNNNNNNNNNNNNNNNNNNNNNNNNNNNNNNNNNNNNNNNNNNNNNNNNNNNNNNNNNNNNNNNNNNNNNNNNNNNNNNNNNNNNNNNNNNNNNNNNNNNNNNNNNNNNNNNNNNNNNNNNNNNNNNNNNNNNNNNNNNNNNNNNNNNNNNNNNNNNNNNNNNNNNNNNNNNNNNNNNNNNNNNNNNNNNNNNNNNNNNNNNNNNNNNNNNNNNNNNNNNNNNNNNNNNNNNNNNNNNNNNNNNNNNNNNNNNNNNNNNNNNNNNNNNNNNNNNNNNNNNNNNNNNNNNNNNNNNNNNNNNNNNNNNNNNNNNNNNNNNNNNNNNNNNNNNNNNNNNNNNNNNNNNNNNNNNNNNNNNCCAUUGUAUCCCCGCAGCAUGCAGUAGCUCACUGGACCAUUCUUGGCCUUGAAGAUCUCUACCCGAGAAGCCAUUGCGCCAUAGUGCAAGUAGCUGAAAUGGUUCAAAAAUUACCACCCGUAAAACCAUUAAUAAGGGGAGCAAAGUAGUUACCACAUGGCCUUUGUAGAAUUGCAACAUACUCCCUCUGUAUUUAUUUACCCCACACAUUAGCUUUGAUUCAAGUCAAGUUUUUAUAAAGUUUGACCAACUUUAUAGAAAAUUAUAUGAACAUUUACAAUAAUAAAUCUAUAUAAUGUGAAAAUAUAUUCAAUGAUGAUUUUAAUCGUAUUAAUUUGGUGGUGUAUGUGUUGGUAUAUACUUUUUCUCUACAAACUUGAUCAAAAUUUAUAAAGUUUAACUUUAGACAAAGCUAAUAUGUAGAACAAAUAAAUACAAAGGGACUAACAGAGUUGGAUGCACAACAAUAAGUGAUAAAAUAACAGAGGAGGGAGCUUAGCUAGCUAGGGUCCAAGUAAGUAACCUGUGAACAUAGACGUUGUAAUCUCUUCCUUUGAGAUACUCUUUGGUGACGUAUGGAUCGUCCCCUUGAGGCACCCCGGGAGCGGUAGCGGCGGCAUCCGCGGAGAUGGCAUAUGCCAUCUGCACUGACCCGCCUCCAAGGUCGAUCACACCCACCGUCUUGGAGUAGUCUCCUCCUAAAUUACCCAGCAGGUAAUUCAGAGCAACCUACGUACGGUGCAAUAUCAAUUUGUGUGACAACAGUAAAUACAUCUACGUGGAUAUAUAUACUGAGUAAUUAAGUCAGGUCAUGUAAGUACUUUCUCCGUUCACAAAUAUAAGAUGUUUUGCAUAUUUCAAUAUGGAUUACUAGAAUUGAAAUAAGUGAACAAACACACUAUAUAUUACACAUUUUAUUUAUAAAAAUACGUAGAAUAUCUUAUAUUUGUGAACGGAGGGAGUAGUAUACUAGUGGGACGGAGCGAGUACAUAGGGUAGGAGUAUACGUACCCACAGGUAAGACCCUUCCUGAGACCCCUUGAGGACAUUGAUCCAACUAGGGUUGUACUGGAAUUUGCUCUGGCUGUGGACAGCAUCCCUCACCUGUAUGUACGUACGUGUUUUGGUUAGGAAUAAUCAGUUCAAACAAGUCCAUCGUUUCAAAUUUUAGUACUAUAUAUAGAUACUGGAACAAGAGUAGAAUUUAGAGAUAAGAAAUAAUUACUGCUUCAAGAAUUUGCUCUGCUUUCUCGUCUCCGAUGAGCCUGAGCCCAGCCGUCGCCUGCACAUAUUCAUUCCAUUUCUAAUUUUAGCGAUUGAUUUGUGUCCCAUAUAUAAAUUUCGUUUCAAUUUGUUUGGUGCCUAGUAAACUAGGUGCUGGACAAACCGUAAAAGUAUUUGUUAUUGCUAUAGUUUGUUAAGGACGGACCCCUAGUUUAACGGGCGUUUUCUUCAUGAGCGAGCGGGGCACGGUGCUCUUGGCCUUCUCCAGCAGAGGCACGAUGGACUUGGCCGCCUCCUGCGGCCGGCCGGCGUACGCGCUCAGCCCCGGCUCCACCUGCGGCCACCAACAAAUCAAAAGAAAUAUGAGAGGACAGCAACAACAUACAUACUCCUAGAAUAGAUUGCUAUGCGUCGUGCAUAAAUAUAUACCUUGGCGAAGACCUCGAUGUCGUCGCCGUCGCCAAUGUCGAUGAGCUCCAUCUUCUUGUCGAACCGGAAGACGUGGACGCGCGUGCCCGUGCUGCCCGCGUCGAAGAUCACCGCGUACUUCCCGGCCGCCUUCUUCAGCUCGGGCUCCUCCUCGGCAACGGCCCCAAUACCGGCCUUCCGGCCGAGCACAGCCACGUCGGCGGCAAAGGCCGAGCCGGCGAACGAGAGGGCCACGAGGAGGAGGAGGAGGAGGAGGCCCGAGGCAUGACGAACCAUGGCGAGCUGCUGCUGGAGUGCUGGUGGGUGGCUUAGUGCGCGUGCUCGAGUGAGCAGCCGAAAGGGUAUUAAAAGGAGGCGGGAGUUUCCAUGGGCAGCCCCAGGGUUUGGUUGGCCGCGCAGAUGAGUCCCUGCCAUGCAAAAUAAAACAAUCCCAUCUUACUGUAGGGAGGUUAGUGGAAUUGUACUGUGAGUAACACUAGUGCGUGCGUGCGUGCGUGUGUCGAUCUCAUCGUGAAAAGAUGAUGUGGAUGGAUUGGGAUUAUUGUUGGAUCUGAAACGUGGAUCUACCGAUGCAAUUUACUGUGGAUGUGCCGCUAGUAUCGCUAAUGCCAAUCAACUGUGAGUAGAGCAGUAGUAUCAUCAUCAUUCAACAACUUUUGAUCCAUCCAAAAAAGUUGUCGUCUGGGCCCUCCUCCACGCGAAACACGCUGCAUGCUUAAACAAUACUAUGGCGGGGCCCUUACCCUAGCUACCCGACGUACGCGCGACACGGACACAUGCAUGCAUGGGCCUCCAAAAGAUCAUUUCGCCGGCCGGCCAGUCACUCUUGAAGGAAAUAUGCCCUAAAGGCAAUAAUAAAGUUAUUAUUUAUUUCCUCAUAUCAUGAUAAAUGUUUACUAUUCAUGCUAGAAUUAUAUUAACCGAAAAAAUGAUACAUGUGUGAAUACAUAGACAAACAUAUAGUCACUAGUAUGCCUCUACUUGACUAACUCAUUAAUCAAAGAUGGUUAUAUUUCCUAACCAUAGACAUGUGUUGUCAUUUGAUUAAUGGGAUCACAUCAUUAGAAGAAUGAUGUGAUUGACAUGACCCAUUCCGUUAGCCUAGCACUUGAUCGUUUAGUAUACUGCUAUUGCUUUCUUCAUGACCUAUACAUGUUCCUGUAACUAUGAGAAAUAUGCAACUCCCGUUUACCGGAGGAACACUUUGGGUACUACCAAACGUCACAACGUAACUGGGUGAUUAUAAAGGAGUACUACAGGUGUCUCCGAAGGUACAUGUUGAGUUGGCGUAUUUCGAGAUUAGGUUUUGUCACUCCGAUUGUCGGAGAGGUAUCUCUGGGCCCUCUCGGUUAUGCACAUCAUUAUAAGCCUUGCAAGCAAUGUGACCAAAUGAGUUGGUUACGGGAUGAUGCAUUACGGAACGAGUAAAGAGACUUGCCGGUAACGAGAUUGAACUAGGUAUUGGAUAACGACGAUCAAAUCUCGGGCAAGUAACAUACCGAUGACAAAGGGAACAACGUAUGUUGUUAUGCGGUUUGACCGAUAAAGAUCUUCGUAGAAUAUGUAGGAACCAAUAUGGGCAUCCAGGUUCCGCUAUUGGUUAUUGAUCGAGAAUGGUUCUAGGUCAUGUCUACAUAGUUCUCGAACCCAUAGGGUCCGCACGCUUAACGUUACGAUGACAAUUUUAUUAUGAGUUUAUAAGUUUUGAUGUACCGAAGUUUGUUCGGAGUCCCGGAUGUGAUCACGGACAUGACGAGGAGUCUCGAAAUGGUCGAGACAUAAAGAUUGAUAUAUUGGAAGCCUAUGUUUGGACAUCGGAAAGGUUCCGGGUGAAAUCGGGAUUUUACCGGAACACCGGGGGGUUACCGGAACCCUCCCGGGGGUUAAUGGGCCUUAGUGGGCCAUGAGGGAGAAGAGGAGGGCCGGCCAGGGCAGGCCGCGCACCCCCUCCCCCCCUAGUCCGAAUAGGACAAGGAAGGGGGGAGGGGGGGGGGGGGCGGCGCCCCCCUUUUUUCUUUCCCCUCCCCCCUUUCCUUCUCCACCAAGGCAAGAGGGGGGAGUCCUACUCCCGGUGGGAGUAAGACUCCUCCAGGCGCACCCCAAGGGGGCCGACCGCACCUCCCCCUCCCUCCUUUAUAUACGGGGGCAGGGGGCACCCCAUAACACACAAGUUGAUCUACGGAUCGUUCCUUAGCCGUGUGCGGUGCCCCCCUCCACCAUAUUCCACCUCGGUCAUAUCGUCGCGGAGUUUAGGCGAAGCCCUGCGCCGGUAGAGAAUCAUCAUCGUCACCACGCCAUCGUGCUGACGGAACUCAUCCCCGAAGCUUUGCUGGAUCGGAGCCCGGGGAUCGUCAUCGAGCUGAACGCGUGCUGAACUCGGAGGUGCCGUACGUUCGGUGCUUGGAUCGGUCGGAUCGUGAAGACGUACGACUACAUCAACCGCGUUGUCAUAACGCUUCCGCUUACGGUCUACGAGGUUACGUGGACGGACACUCUCCCCUCUCGUUGCUAUGCCAUCACCAUGAUCUUGCGUGCACGUAGGAAUUUUUUUGAAAUUACUACGUUCCCCAGCAGUGGCAUCCGAGCCUAGGUUUUAUGCGUUGAUGUUAUAUGCAUGAGUAGAACACAAGUGAGUUGUGGACGAUAUAAGUCAUACAACUUACCAGCAUGUCAUAUUUUGGUUCAGCGGCAUUGUGAGAUGAAGCGGCCCGGACCGACAUUACGCGUACGCUUACGCGAGACUGGUUUCACCGCUACAAGCACUCAUUGCUUAAAGGUGACCGGCGGGUGUCUGUCUCUCUCACUUUAGUUGAACCGAGUGUGGCUACGCCCGGUCCUUGCGAAGGUUAAAAUAGCACCAACUUGACAAACUAUCAUUGUGGUUUUGAUGCGUAGGUAAGAACGGUUCUUGCUAAGCCCGUAGCAGCCACGUAAAAAUUGCAACAACAAAGUAGAGGACGUCUAACUUGUUUUUGCAGGGCAUGUUGUGAUGUGAUAUGGUCAAGACGUGAUGCUAUAUUUUAUUGUAUGAGAUGAUCAUGUUUUGUAACCUAAGUUAUCGGCAACUGGCAGGAGCCAUAUGGUUGUCGCUUUGUUGUAUGAAAUGCAAACGCCCUGUAAUUGCUUUACUUUAUCACUAAGCGGUAGCGAUAGUCGUAGAAGCAAUAGAUGGCGUAACGACAACGAUGCUACGAUGGAGAUCAAGGUGUCGCGCCGGUGACGAUGGUGAUCACGACGGUGCUUCGAAGAUGGAGAUCACAAGCACAAGAUGAUGAUGGCCAUAUCAUAUCACUUAUAUUGAUUGCAUGUGAUGUUUAUCCUUUAUGCAUCUUAUCUUGCUUUGAUUGACGGUAGCAUUUUAAGAUGAUCUCUCACUUAAUAAUCAAUAAGUGUUCUCCCUGAGUAUGCAUCGUUGCGAAAGUUCUUCGUGCUGAGACACCACAUGAUGAUCGGGUGUGAUAGGCUCUACGUUCAAAUACAACGGGUGCAAAACAAUUGCACACGCGGAAUACUCAGGUCAUACUUGACGAGCCUAGCAUAUACAGAUAUGGCCUCGGAACACGGAGACCGAAAGGUCGAACGUGAAUCAUAUAGUAGAUAUGAUCAACAUAGUGAUGUUCACCAUUGAAACUACUCCAUCUCACGGGAUGAUCGGUUAUGGUUUAGUUGAUUUGGAUCACGUGAUCACUUAGAUGACUAGAGAGAUGUCUGUCUAAGUGGGAGUUCUUAAGUAAUAUGAUUAAUUGAACCUAAAUUUAUCAUGAACUUAGUACCUGAUAGUAUUUUACUUGUCUAUGUUUGUUUGUAGAUAGAUGGCUCGUGCUGUUGUUCCGUUAAAUUUUAAUGCGUUCCUUGAGAAAGCAAAGUUGAAAGAUGAUGGUAGCAAUUACACGGACUGGGUCCGUAACCUGAGGAUUAUCCUCAUUGCUGCACAGAAAAGUUACGUCCUGGAAGCACCGCUGGGUGCCAGGCCUGCUGCUGAUGCAACUGACGACGUUAAGAACGUCUGGCAGAGCAAAGCUGAUGACUACUCGAUAGUUCAGUGUGCCAUGCUUUACGGCUUAGAACCGGGUCUUCAACGACGUUUUGAACGUCAUGGAGCAUAUGAGAUGUUUCAGGAGUUGAAGUUAAUAUUUCAAGCAAAUGCCCGGAUUGAGAGAUAUGAAGUCUCCAAUAAGUUCUAUAGCUGCAAGAUGGAGGAGAA
This 30146-nucleotide long non-coding RNA is filed under the name Triticum aestivum (bread wheat). RNAcentral describes it as "long non-coding RNA (TAES_LNC003871)". The stretch from base 12212 to 12326 matches the Rfam family "MIR1120/MIR1122 microRNA precursor family". Lineage: Eukaryota; Viridiplantae; Streptophyta; Magnoliopsida; Poales; Poaceae. The record is from RNAcentral.